RNAcentral lists this ribosomal RNA (484 nucleotides) under uncultured bacterium. RNAcentral's name for it is "partial 16S ribosomal RNA". It matches the Rfam family "Bacterial small subunit ribosomal RNA", at positions 30 to 507 of the family's 1533-position model. The record is from RNAcentral.
AUUGAACGCUGGCGGCAUGCCUUACACAUGCAAGUCGAACGGCAGCGCGGGAGCAAUCCUGGCGGCGAGUGGCGAACGGGUGAGUAAUACAUCGGAACGUGCCCAAUCGUGGGGGAUAACGCAGCGAAAGCUGUGCUAAUACCGCAUACGAUCUACGGAUGAAAGCAGGGGAUCGCAAGACCUUGCGCGAAUGUAGCGGCCGAUGGCAGAUUAGGUAGUUGGUGAGGUAAAGGCUCACCAAGCCUUCGAUCUGUAGCUGGUCUGAGAGGACGACCAGCCACACUGGGACUGAGACACGGCCCAGACUCCUACGGGAGGCAGCAGUGGGGAAUUUUGGACAAUGGGCGAAAGCCUGAUCCAGCCAUGCCGCGUGCAGGAUGAAGGCCUUCGGGUUGUAAACUGCUUUUGUACGGAACGAAACGGUCUUUUCUAAUAAAGAAGGCUAAUGACGGUACCGUAAGAAUAAGCACCGGCUAACUACGUG